UCAUUGAAUUAUUUUUAGUACUUAAGAAGCUUAACAGUUGAUAGACUAACGCACCCUCGAGGCCACCACAUAUUUGUUCAUAUUCACCAAUGCAGUGCUGUGCAGGUGCACACAUACAGAGUGUAAUUUGCUCUAAAUCAGAAAUAAAGGUUAAAACCGGACUGUUCACUCGAAUCUUUUAACCAAGAAUGUAUGUUAAGGUUUUAAACCGAGUUAUGGUUACUUUUACAACUGAGCCAAUAACUUAUACAAUCUGAUACAGGCAUUUAUAUUGGUGGUAACCAUGUCAUUCACUACACCCCGAGAGUAAAUGAUAGCGCGUGCUUAAAACAUCCUAACUGUGGAUUUCAGAAACCUGGAAGCGGAGUGGUUUUAUCUUGUUUGGAUUGUUUCGCGGGAAGUAGAUCCUUGUACCUCUUCCAGUAUGAAUUGAGACCAUAUGUGCACAUCUUAAAAUUUCGUGGUGGCACAUGCACUACAAAAUGGAUUUGGACGUUAUCACCUCACUGGAAACAACUGUGAGGAUUUUGCUUUGUAUUGUAAGACAAGCCUGUUGGGCCGUGAACGCACCGGAAGCAGUGGCCAGGUGAGUAGCUGGGUUAAUGUACCAUUGGCGGUCGCUGUUUAUAUACUCCUUAACAAUUCCUUUUGGGCUGCAAUCACGGUGCGUUGUUUAAACCAUUACAUGACUGAUAUUGGUGUUCGAGAUGAUAUGGUUAGGAUUAAGGCGGAGGAUGUUAUCAGUUUACAUUUUGUGUAGAUUUAAAUUUUUUUUCUGUUAAUUAUCAUUCAGGUUUAUUUAUAGGAUCUAUCACUAGCAUAUCAAGUCAUGUAUACAUACCCUAAUCAGCAGUGUUAAAAAACAUGGAUACAACAAAGUUUCUUUUUAUAGGAUCUAUCACUAGCAUUUGAAUUUUAUUUAGUAAAUCAGGCAAGAUAAAAUAUCGUUUAAAAUUGCAAGUUUUAGAAAUUAAAAUAUAAUCCAUCGUCCUUGGAGAAAAACAAGAAAAUCAACAUGAUGAUUCAGUUGCACUUCAUAAUAGUUUCAUCUCACACGAUUGACUACAUCACAGGAUUCUUAACAGACUUGAUAUUUUUAAGGAUAUAUGAUUACUUUUGUUUUUCCUUUUGAACUGCCUACAUGUUCCGGUAUGUCUUGUCUUGAUGUUUAGAUUAUCCUUUGUUUUGCUCGAGCUUAAUUACAUAUUAUUCAGUCCCUGCUUCUAUGUUUAUCAAUUUGAAACAAUGUUUCUUUUUAUAGAAGAUGUUUCAAACAAGUAACAUACAAAGAUUAUAAUUUGAUUUGGGUAUUUACCUCUUUUUGUUGGCCGACUGUGUACUAUUAGAGUAGCAAUUAGAGUUUGUUACUUUCAGUUAUCUUAGUUGCUUAGUUGAUUGUAGUUAUCCGCUAUAUAUAUAGCUCACCGUAAAUGGAGAUCAGCUUUGGUUCGGAUACUGACUAAAAAUGAAUUGUGGUUUUUAUAAAAAGCAAAAAACGAGAAAACCUUUGAAAGAAAUUAUUUCUUUGGAUAAAAAAAUAGGGUGAAAUAGGGAUAACUGGUGUUUGUUUCAGAUCUAUUUCUAAAGUCGAAUUAUGCUCUAACCCCUGACUGGAGCUGUUUAGUUUGCCUAUAUAUAUUAUGAUUUUGUUGCCGGUCAAAGAAAAAAAAAAGGUCCCUGUAUUUGUUAAGUGAAAAAGUAAAAUAAUAAAACAUACUUUCCAAAGCUUUCCAGGUGAGACUCAUAGAGGUUGCACGAAUUUUUGUACCUGAUCAUCAAUGUCUCGGCUGAAAUGGGUGGGAGUUUGUACAGUUGCUGUAAUUGCCGAAAUCAUGUUGCUCUCGUGAUGAGAUACUUUCCAAAGCUUUCCAGAUUGAAACACUUAAAGCUUGACGCUCUCCUGAAAUUGUAUAGUUUUGAUUCUGGGGAGAAAUGGUAGAUCAUUUCUUUUCUACCAUGCAAUGAAAGUCUUCACUGGACCGAAAGAAGACAGACGCUUCAUGACUGGUCUUCACACAGUUGCGGAUGUUUAUUAUUGUGGUUGCCAUGAAGUGUUAGGUUGGAAGUAUAUACGAGCAUAUGACUUAAGACCGAAGUACAAGGAAAAAUCAUUCUCGAGAAUUCAAGAAUAGCAUCACAAUGCAUCCAUCAUACUAUUUAUUUUUAAUGUACGGAAUAAUAGCUAAGUUUUUGUAUAAUAUCUUACAAUAAUGAAAUGAAAUGUAGUUUGACCAUGUGGCUAUGUUAAUA
Molecule: RNA transcript, 2250 nt
Organism: Helianthus annuus (common sunflower)
Lineage: Eukaryota; Viridiplantae; Streptophyta; Magnoliopsida; Asterales; Asteraceae
Exons: 2
Source: RefSeq, a predicted model, not a curated record